GAUGAACGCUGGCGGCGUGCCUAAUACAUGCAAGUCGAGCGAACAGACGAGGAGCUUGCUCCUCUGACGUUAGCGGCGGACGGGUGAGUAACACGUGGAUAACCUACCUAUAAGACUGGGAUAACUUCGGGAAACCGCAGCCAAUACCGGAUAAUAUAUUGAACCGCAUGGUUCAAUAGUGAAAGACGGUUUUGCUGUCACUUAUAGCUGGAUCCGCGCCGCAUUAGCUAGUUGGUAAGGUAACGGCUUACCAAGGCAACGAUGCGUAGCCGACCUGAGAGGAUGAUCGGCCACACUGGAACUGAGACACGGCCCAGACUCCUACGGGAGGCAGCAGUAGGGAAUCUUCCGCAAUGGGCGAAAGCCUGACGGAGCAACGCCGCGUGAGUGAUGAAGGUCUUCGGAUCGUAAAACUCUGUUAUUAGGGAAGAACAAAUGUGUAAGUAACUAUGCACGUCUUGACGGUACCUAAUCAGAAAGCCACGGCUAACUACGUG
This 497-nucleotide ribosomal RNA is filed under the name uncultured bacterium. Its description in RNAcentral is "partial 16S ribosomal RNA". It matches the Rfam family "Bacterial small subunit ribosomal RNA", at positions 28 to 507 of the family's 1533-position model. The record is from RNAcentral.